AUUGAACGCUGGCGGCAUGCCUUACACAUGCAAGUCGAACGGUAACGCGGGGGCGAACCCUACGGCGACGAGUGGCGAACGGGUGAGUAAUACAUCGGAACGUGUCCUGUUGUGGGGGAGUAACCCACUCGAAAGGUAGAGCUAAUACCGCAUGAUCUGGAGACAGCAAAGACAGGGGACCGGUAACGGCCUUGCGCGAUUGGAGCGGCCGAUGUCCGAUUAGCUAGUUGGUGGGGUAAAGGCCCACCAAGGCAACGAUCGGUAGCUGGUCUGAGAGGAUGAUCAGCCACACUGGGACUGAGACACGGCCCAGACUCCUACGGGAGGCAGCAGUGGGGAAUUUU
Molecule: ribosomal RNA, 344 nt
Filed under: uncultured bacterium
Lineage: Bacteria
Description: bacterial SSU rRNA
Rfam family: Bacterial small subunit ribosomal RNA
Source: RNAcentral